RNAcentral lists this transfer RNA (50 nucleotides) under Hemidactylus frenatus (common house gecko). Its description in RNAcentral is "partial tRNA-Leu". Lineage: Eukaryota; Metazoa; Chordata; Lepidosauria; Squamata; Gekkonidae. The record is from RNAcentral.
UACUUUCAAAGGACAAUAGUUCGCCCUUAAUUUUAGGAAUUAACACCUCU